GAUGAACGCUGGCGGCGUGCCUAAUACAUGCAAGUCGAGCGGACAGGCCAUGCUCUUGCGGGGUGCUCGAGAGCGGCACGGGUGUGUGUCACGCGAGUAUCAUCUACCUGUCUUUGGGAUAUAUUUAGGAAACUGGGGCUAAUAUCGCAUAGGAGCUCUUGCUGCAUGGGGGGGGUUGGAGAGUUUCGGCGGUUGGGGAUGGUCUAGGGGCGUAUGAGCCAGAUGGGCGGGUAGUGGAUUACAAAGGUUUUGACGGGUAGCCGACCUAAGAGGGGGAUCGGCCGCCCUGGAGGUGAGCCACGGUCCAGACGACUACGGGAGGCAGCAGUAGGGAACCUUAGGCAACGGGCGAAAGCCUGACGGAGCAACGCCGCGUCAGUGAUGAAGGCCUCCGGAUCGUAAAACCCUGUUUUGAGGGAUGAACAACUGUCUCCGUAAAUAUGCCCGUAUUGACGGUAACGAAUAAGAAAGCACCGGCUAACUACGUG
This 488-nucleotide ribosomal RNA is filed under the name uncultured bacterium. RNAcentral's name for it is "partial 16S ribosomal RNA". It matches the Rfam family "Bacterial small subunit ribosomal RNA", at positions 28 to 507 of the family's 1533-position model. The record is from RNAcentral.